Oreochromis niloticus (Nile tilapia) is the source of this 1979-nucleotide long non-coding RNA. RefSeq annotates it as CXADR-like membrane protein. The record is from RefSeq and is a predicted model, not a curated record. Lineage: Eukaryota; Metazoa; Chordata; Actinopteri; Cichliformes; Cichlidae. The transcript has 6 exons.
CCGCAGAGUCCGAGUGAGCCGCUGAAAGUCAGAUCUGUUCUUCAAAGCAGACUUUCAGCUUUAUUUCAAGCUUAAAUCUAAUCUGAUGUAGUCAGUAUUUACAGUCAGACUCUGUUAUUAACUGAAAACAGUGACAGACUCAGACAUUUAGAACAAACUAAGAGUCGGAUCAGCACAAAUACUGACACAGAGAUGGCUGCUGGCACUGCGCUGCUCUGCUCCACUUUGCUGUUCGUCCAUGUCUUCGUCCCAGCAGACCAGAAAAAUAUCAAUGCUGAGUCUGGACAGAACGUCACUCUGACAUGUCGAGCUUCAAACAGCAAGAUCAACAUUGUAAAGUGGAGCAGAGCUGACCUGGGAGAUGAAUAUGUGCUUUUGUACUGGGAUGGAUACUUUGUUCCAGACAGCCAGGAUCCAUCUUUUAAGAACCGGGUGGACAGACAGAUGAAGGAUGGAGACGUGUCUUUGAUUCUGAAGGAUGUGACGAUUAAUGACACUGGAACAUACGAGUGUCGUGUCUUCAUGGAAGAAACAUGGCGAUGGAGCACCAUCAGCAUCAUCUAUCUUCAUGUUCUUCCUCCAGACCAGAAAAUCAUCACAGCUGAGUCUGGACAGGACGUCACUCUGACAUGUCGAGCUCCAAACAACAACAUCAUAGUUGUAAAGUGGAGCAGAGAUGACCUGGGAGAUAAAUAUGUGCUUUUGUACCGGGAUGAUCAGUUUGUUCCAGAUGAGCAGCAUCCAUCUUUUAAGAACCGGGUGGAUCUGCAGGACAGACAGAUGAAGGAUGGAGACGUGUCUUUGAUUCUGAAGGAUGUGACGAUUAAUGAUGCUGGAACAUACGAGUGUCAUGUCUUCAUGGAAGAAACACACUCAUGGGAUCUCAGCAUCAUUUAUCUUCAUGUUGAUCCUCCAGACAAACACACCACCACACCUCCACCUACAUCCACACCUGCUGGUUCUACCUCCAUCACUCUUCCUCCUCCUCUCUCUGUGCUGUUGCCCAUUGGGUCAGUCUAUGUUGUGGUUCUACUGGUGUUACUGAUUCUGCUGGUGAGACGAUGUGUUCACAGGAAACUUGAAGCAGAUGGAGAAGAUGACAUCACCAGUAGCAUCACAUACAGUGUUGUGAAGUCAUCAAAUCAUCAACAACCUCCAGUCAAAGAAACCAGAGAGAGAGUGCUUCGUCCAUGACCUCCUGAAGGUAAAGGGCUCUAAGAGCCAAUCAGCAGCUCUGAAACAGGAAAUAUGACUCAUGUUGAAGUUCACAACAGUUUCAGCUUCUUAUCACAGUAAAGACGCAGUCAAUUGUACUCAUCACCAUGGAGACUGUAGCAUUAGAUCUAAAUAAAGGCUGGUUGGAGGCAGAGUGACAGUGUUGUAGAUGCUGCAUUUUGAAGCCUCAGUGUUUAAAUGGUGUCCUCAGCCAUAUAGACAGAGUGGGUGGAUUUGCUUCUGGAAGGACUUUGUUGCAGCUCUACAGCAGGUGUUUGUUGUUGGAUGACAUCACAUUCAGCUGUGACUGAGCCAUAAAUGUCAGAGCUCAGACGAGGCCCACACAUGUGUGUUAUCUGGUGUUGGUACACACACAGUUAAGAUAUGGCUCAUGUGAACAUGAGACAUAUGAAGAGACUGAACAGAAUGUCCUUUACAUCCAUCAGUGACUUUUUAUUCUUUUAAACUUGAUCUGCAUGUAAAACACAGCAGCUUCUUUUUGACUCCAGUUAGUCUGACACUGAUGGAGCUUCUUGCUGCAGAGUGUUUGGGUUUGGCUGAUAAUAGUGGUCAUGCAUGUUUGCUCUGUGGUAAAAGUGCAUCAGUCUGCACCUCUGUGGUCGCCCUUCUUCCUUUUCUCAGAAACAUCCUGAAUUCUUUGUGCUCAGUGUGUUUCACAGCAGAGGUGUUAAGAUUAAAAAUAAAUACUGUGAAAAGCUGCUGCAGUUUAUGAAAAGACAAAAUUGAAUUUUUUAAAAAAGCAU